This 386-nucleotide ribosomal RNA is filed under the name uncultured prokaryote. RNAcentral's name for it is "bacterial SSU rRNA". It matches the Rfam family "Archaeal small subunit ribosomal RNA", at positions 339 to 725 of the family's 1478-position model. The record is from RNAcentral.
GCGCGAAACCUCCGCAAUGCGAGCAAUCGCGACGGGGGAAACCCAAGUGCCACUCUUAACGGGGUGGCUUUUCUGAAGUGUAAAAAGCUUCAGGAAUAAGAGCUGGGCAAGACCGGUGCCAGCCGCCGCGGUAACACCGGCAGCCCAAGUGGUGGCCGUUUUUAUUGGGCCUAAAGCGUUCGUAGCCGGCCUGAUAAGUCUCUGGUGAAAUCCCGCAGCUUAACUGUGGGAAUUGCUGGAGAUACUAUCAGGCUUGAGGUCGGGAGAGGUUAGAGGUACUCCCAGGGUAGGGGUGAAAUCCUAUAAUCCUGGGAGGACCACCUGUGGCGAAGGCGUCUAACUGGAACGAACCUGACGGUGAGUAACGAAAGCCAGGGGCGCGAACC